Xenia sp. Carnegie-2017 is the source of this 156-nucleotide long non-coding RNA. RefSeq lists it as uncharacterized. The transcript is spliced from 3 exons. Lineage: Eukaryota; Metazoa; Cnidaria; Anthozoa; Malacalcyonacea; Xeniidae. The record is from RefSeq and is a predicted model, not a curated record.
AAGACAUAGAAAAUGGCGUGCAACUCAAGCUCAAAAGAAGGUUGAAGAAAGAUGCUAUUCCAACCAUUGACGUUGCUGAAUUCCUGAACCAUUACAGGACGAAAUAACCGAUCGAAAGCGAAGACAAAUUAUUCGACAUACUCUCCAUAAGCCAUC